RNAcentral lists this long non-coding RNA (395 nucleotides) under Cavia porcellus (domestic guinea pig). Its description in RNAcentral is "lncRNA (ENSCPOG00000030375.1)". Lineage: Eukaryota; Metazoa; Chordata; Mammalia; Rodentia; Caviidae. The record is from RNAcentral.
CAGCAUUUUUAUAUCCUUAUGAGUUACAGGCUGCCUGUUCCUGUUGGCCCCACCAAGUUGUAACUUUCCUGGAUGCUGGGAAACCACAGUCUGAAGCUCAAGCCUCUGCAGCAGCAGCAGGAGAAGGUUCUAGAACCAGGACACACACCCAGAGGUGAAACAAAAGUGAAGCGCGAAGACAAGGACGGCCGUGCCAGCUGCCGGAGGAGGGCAUUGUCUGCGUGCAUCUGAGGAGAAAAGGAAGCCGUUUGGCAGCGUGGGGCGCCGGGAGCCGGGAGGAGCUGGCGAUCUGCACGGGGAGGGAGUGUGUGGCGGUGCCCACGGUGCCCACGGCCCUGACUGCACGGCCUGACAGGUGCUGGGGGGCGGCGCCGGGCACAGCUGCCCGAGCAGGG